CUGGAGACAGGUGCUGCAUGGCUGUCGUCAGCUCGUGUCGUGAGAUGUUGGGUUAAGUCCCGUCAACGAGCGCAACCCUUGCCUUUUAGUUUGCCAGCAGUUCGGCUGGGCACUCUAAAGGGAACUGCCGGUGUUAAACCGGAGGAAGGUGGGGAGUGACGUCAAGUACCUCAUGGCCGUUUAUGACCAGGGCUACACACGUACUACAAUGGCCGAUACAAAGGGCAGCGACACUGCGAGGUGAAGCCAAUCCCGUAAAAUCGGUCUCAGUCCGGAUUGGAGUCUGCAACUCGACUCCAUGAAGUUGGAAUCGCUAGUAAUCGUGGAUCAGCAUGCCACGGUGAAUACGUUCCCGGGCCUU
Molecule: ribosomal RNA, 361 nt
Filed under: uncultured Desulfobulbus sp.
Lineage: Bacteria; Pseudomonadati; Thermodesulfobacteriota; Desulfobulbia; Desulfobulbales; Desulfobulbaceae
Description: bacterial SSU rRNA
Rfam family: Bacterial small subunit ribosomal RNA
Source: RNAcentral